Molecule: long non-coding RNA, 247 nt
Filed under: Elaeis guineensis (African oil palm)
Lineage: Eukaryota; Viridiplantae; Streptophyta; Magnoliopsida; Arecales; Arecaceae
Description: long non-coding RNA (EGUI_LNC053642)
Source: RNAcentral
UAUUUAAAUUAACGUUGUUAGUGAAAUCAUUUACCUUAUAUAUAAAAUUGAGAUUUCUUUUGAAUGGAGAGAAGAACGUACAUAUUUUGUAAUUUUUAUUUAAAAUUAAUAAUUUGACUAACAUCUUGGGGGAGAGAGAUGCUUGUCGCUUGCAAAAUUUUUUGUUAACAUGAUCUUUAAAUUCUAUUUAAGGUUAACAAUAUGAUUAGGAUUCUAUUUAAAGUGUUGCCAAGGUGAGGAUGCAGGU